CCAUGGAAAGUCGGAUUAACACCCCAUAGUACUUUUAUCCUGCAUGGGAUGUGAGUUAAAUGUUUAAGGUAUCGGAUGGGCAUGCGUCCUAUUAGUUAGUUGGCGGGGUAACAGCCCACCAAGACGAUGAUAGGUAGGGGUUCUGAGAGGAAGGUCCCCCACAUUGGAACUGAGACACGGUCCAAACUCCUACGGGAGGCAGCAGUGAGGAAUAUUGGUCAAUGGACGAGAGUCUGAACCAGCCAAGUCGCGUGAGGGAAGACUGCCCUAUGGGUUGUAAACCUCUUUUAUAAGGGAAGAAUAAGUUCUACGUGUAGAAUGAUGCCUGUACCUUAUGAAUAAGCAUCGGCUAACUCCGUGCCAGCAGCCGCGGUAAUACGGAGGAUCCGAGCGUUAUCCGGAUUUAUUGGGUUUAAAGGGUGCGUAGGCGGUUUAUUAAGUUAGUGGUUAAAUAUUUGAGCUAAACUCAAUUGUGCCAUUAAUACUGGUAAACUGGAGUACAGACGAGGUAGGCGGAAUAAGUUAAGUAGCGGUGAAAUGCAUAGAUAUAACUUAGAACUCCGAUAGCGAAGGCAGCUUACCAGACUGUAACUGACGCUGAUGCACGAGAGCGUGGGUAGCGAACAGGAUUAGAUACCCUGGUAGUCCACGCCGUAAACGAUGCUCACUGGUUCUGUGCGAUAUAUUGUACGGGAUUAAGCGAAAGUAUUAAGUGAGCCACCUGGGGAGUACGUCGGCAACGGUGAAACUCAAAGGAAUUGACGGGGGCCCGCACAAGCGGAGGAACAUGUGGUUUAAUUCGAUGAUACGCGAGGAACCUUACCUGGGUUUAAAUGGGAAAUGUCGUAUUUGGAAACAGAUAUUCUCUUCGGAGCGUUUUUCAAGGUGCUGCAUGGUUGUCGUCAGCUCGUGCCGUGAGGUGUCGGGUUAAGUCCCAUAACGAGCGCAACCCUUACCGUUAGUUGCUAGCAUGUAAUGAUGAGCACUCUAACGGGACUGCCACCGUAAGGUGAGAGGAAGGCGGGGAUGACGUCAAAUCAGCACGGCCCUUACACCCAGGGCUACACACGUGUUACAAUGGCCGGUACAGAGGGCCGCUACCAGGUGACUGGAUGCCAAUCUCAAAAGCCGGUCGUAGUUCGGAUUGGAGUCUGUAACCCGACUCCAUGAAGUUGGAUUCGCUAGUAAUCGCGCAUCAGCCAUGG
RNAcentral lists this ribosomal RNA (1205 nucleotides) under human gut metagenome. Its description in RNAcentral is "bacterial SSU rRNA". It matches the Rfam family "Bacterial small subunit ribosomal RNA", at positions 148 to 1357 of the family's 1533-position model. The record is from RNAcentral.